This 163-nucleotide ribosomal RNA is filed under the name Avena strigosa (black oat). Its description in RNAcentral is "5.8S ribosomal RNA". It matches the Rfam family "5.8S ribosomal RNA". Rfam says of the family: 5.8S ribosomal RNA (5.8S rRNA) is a component of the large subunit of the eukaryotic ribosome. Lineage: Eukaryota; Viridiplantae; Streptophyta; Magnoliopsida; Poales; Poaceae. The record is from RNAcentral.
ACACGACUCUCGGCAACGGAUAUCUCGGCUCUCGCAUCGAUGAAGAACGUAGCAAAAUGCGAUACCUGGUGUGAAUUGCAGAAUCCCGCGAACCAUCGAGUCUUUGAACGCAAGUUGCGCCCGAGGCCAUUCGGCCGAGGGCACGCCUGCCUGGGCGUCACGC